This 253-nucleotide ribosomal RNA is filed under the name uncultured bacterium. RNAcentral describes it as "partial 16S ribosomal RNA". It matches the Rfam family "Bacterial small subunit ribosomal RNA", at positions 524 to 776 of the family's 1533-position model. The record is from RNAcentral.
GACAGAGGGUGCAAGCGUUGUUCGGAAUUACUGGGCGUAAAGCGUGUGUAGGCGGUCCACUAAGUCGGGUGUGAAAGCCCUGGGCUCAACCCAGGAAGUGCACUCGAAACUGGCGGGCUUGAGUAUGGGAGAGGUUGGUGGAAUUCUCGGUGUAGAGGUGAAAUUCGUAGAUAUCGAGAGGAACACCGGUGGCGAAGGCGGCCAACUGGACGAAUACUGACGCUGAGACACGAAAGCGUGGGGAGCAAACAGG